This 7317-nucleotide long non-coding RNA is filed under the name Sus scrofa (pig). Its description in RNAcentral is "lncRNA (ENSSSCG00055007303.1)". The record is from RNAcentral. Lineage: Eukaryota; Metazoa; Chordata; Mammalia; Artiodactyla; Suidae.
UUUUUUUUUUUUUUUGCAUGCCCUAACUUCCCAACUAGACAGCACAGGGACUAGAUCAUAUCUUUCAUCCUUUUGAACUGGUAGUAGGUAUUAAUAAAUAUUUAUUCAUGAUAAUGGAAUUUGAUUAAAGGGGGUAGAAGAUUGUAAGACUUCAUAUCUCAUGGGAAUGAUAAAAUAGGAAGUGAGAGAGGCUUCAUGAUGGUGGGCAGGGUGGAUUUUUCCUAUUGAGCUUCUAUCACUAUAGCAAUUCUAGUUUGAUGUAUUAUAUGCACAAGCUUUUUAAGAACACUCAACACAUAUCCUAGAUACCACGCAUGAAGAAGAUCUACAGAGAUUGAACUCUUAAGGAAAAUUCUUGCCAAGAGUAGAAUGCUUAAACAGCAGGGAAAGGAGGCAACUUGAUGCAGCUGUGGAAGGUAGAGAUUUCACUGUGCAGCCCAAUAGAAUCCUGUCAAUGGGGAAAUGGUGUUGUGAGAAAAUUAGUUGCUCAGUAUUACAGAAGAGAAAAACACAAUGGUGAGAGAAGGGUGGGGACAGUAAACAUUUUCCAUUUUAUGAAAUGAUUAUUCAUAAGAUGUCUUAAAGUUGUAUGCUUUUCUCAUGACUGAAGUGACUGAAGUGCUUUUCUCAUGACUAGAAAGUUUCAUAAAUAUGUCAAUUUUGUGAAUUAAAGCAUGCCUAUAAAGAUUUCCCCUUACCAUGGGUAUUUGACUUGGAUUUAAUUCUCUUAGUAAAAGAUCAAGUCAAGAAGUAUUGGGGUUGCUUUGAAACAUGAAUUCUUUUAGAAAUAGGUGAUCCAAGAAGGAAAUGGCAGAUGGAAGCAAACACGAGGUGUAAUGUGCAUAAUCCCUAGACAUGGGCUAAUGCAAGGUUUGUUUUUGUUUGUUUGCUUGUUUUUGCCUUUUUAGGGCUGCACUUGCAGCACAUGGAAGUUCCCAGGCUAGGGGUCAAAUCUGAGCUAUAGCUGCCAGCCUAUGCCACAGUCACAGCAACGUGGGAUGCGAGCUGCGUCUGCGACCUACACCACAGCUCAGGGCAGUGCCAGAUCCUUAACCCACUGAGCAUGGCCAGGGAUCGAACCUGCAUCCUCAUGAAUACUAGUUAGUUUCAUUAACUGCUGAGCCACAACAGGAACUCCACGUUUUUCACUUCAAUACAGUCAUCUCCUUCCUAUUCAUGCUUCUCUAUCAUUAUAUUUGGGUAUUUGAGUCCUUCAAAGAACAAUCUUAUGAAGUCAAUGGGAUGGUCUUAUCACUAACUCCCGUUGUAGUUAAGGAUAAUCACUCCUUUUUUUUCCCCUGUAGAUGAAUAUUCUACACAAGAGUAUUAGAAAAUAUGAGUUCAUUGCUCAACCUUGUUAAAAACUAAAGAAAAAUAAAAAUCAGUUUGUGCUUAUUUUCAGGUGAAAUAUAACAUUCACUUUCACGCUACAGAGAUUAACAGUAUAAUUACAUGAUCAGUAUAGGUCAAUUUUAUCUUCUGAUUUUUAAAAUAAUAUUAAUGAAUUAGAGCUUUAUACUAUGUGAGCUUUGAUUUGCCUUUUUAAUGUAUGAGGAAAUGUACUAAACUCUAGUAUUUCAGGGAUGGUUUCUUCCUACCACAUUUGUGUUUAUUAAGCCAGGGUCCCUGACUUCUUGAAAGCCUGUACAAAUUUUGGGGUUAUAUGCAUAUGUUACAUGUUUCUAGGCAGAUUUCUUUUCUUAGAACUUCAGGAGUUCUUGUUUCAAAAAAAGGUAUGAACCACUACUGUACAUCUUCAGCUUGUGUUUGCUUUUUAAGAAGUUAAUAUUCAUCUCUCUGUAAUAACAAACGUUAUCUAUAUGUAUAUAUAUUGUUCAAUGUAAUUGCUUUAUGAAUUGGAGGAAUAUUCAAAUAAGUUUAAAAUGCCAUAUUUUGUUUCUAACAAGGAAAAAGAAAGGAAAGGGACGCACAUGAUAACUAUGAAAAUUGUGCGAAUUAUGAUUAUUUCUAUACUAAGCACUGGGAUAGAUUAACAGGGGCAGUUAAAAAAAUGCCUUUCCUUGAGAAAUUAAUAAAUCCUCCAUCUAAGAGACAUUAGGGGUAGUGCUUGCUAGCAAGUGGUAUGCUAAACUAGAAACCUUGGGGUCCUUUCCAGGUUUAUGCUCUCUUUACCAUGCACUUCUAGGCAACAGAAAACAACUAUUUUUAUCCAUUGUCAAUCAAACGCAUCACUUCAGACACAUGCUAUGCCUAGCUAACUUGUCCUUUAAAAAAAGGAAACCUAUUUUGAACCAAAAUACCCUAAUCGCACACAAAAACAGAAACAGGAUGAGGUGAGAGAGAGGAUUGGGUUCCAUUUAGAUUUAUGUCAUCAACUUGCUGAGUACUCAAAAGCAAGUUAAUCUUAUCCCAAACUCUUGAAUUUUUUUUUUUUUUACUUCCAAUUGCCUCAAAUACAUAAAGUUGGAUUUGAUAUUCUUAGUCCCUAUCCCAGGUUUCUGUAGACAAAACUGCUUGAGAAGGGCCAUGGGAAUCUAUAGUGUAACAAGUGAUCCAGGGAACUCAUGAUCAUGCAAGUUCAGAAAACCUGGAAGCAUAUGAUAUUCUUAGUCCUUUAAGAUUUUUGGAUUUUAGCUAAUCGGAAUGGGCUUCCUUCUGAAGAUCUUCAACAUAUUUAUAUAACUCCCUGAAGUCAUUUCAUAUAGAGGCUGGGAGAAUAAAUUCCAAUCAUGAAAUGAGUUGUUGGUGAGUAUGCAACACAGUAUUCAAGGAGUUAAUUCAAAAUUCUCUGGUUGAGAAAUGUAGGGGAUUGGGAACAACUGUAUGAUGUCAAAAUAACAGCUUUAUCAUCCUUUAAAAAUCACUACUGACCACAAAAGGCACUGAUAAGCACAGGGUUUAUGCCUUUUAAAAUUUUUUUAUUAACCAAAUUGAGAGCCAAGAUACCUUCUGUUUCUAAUCAUGUUUCUAUUAACUUGGACUUUUUUUCCCCAAAACUGAAAGUGUGCAGUGAAAUCUUAUACUUAGUUCUAUGGAGUCAUUUGCCAAUAUAACAAUGCAAUUAUACUUGGCCACUUGGAGAAUAAUCUAUGACAAAAACAAUGGACAUUUCUGCCUCGGGAAUGAGGUCCAGAAGCAUCAUAGUAUAUUUCAGUUAAUGUAAGCUAUAUAUAAAGGAGUAAAUGUAAAUAUCUGAGUAAAUGCAAAGAUAAUGACACAUCUAUUGACAGAUAACAGUUUCCCAGUCAACAAUAAGUGAUUUCAGGUUUAGAUCACUGAAAAGCAAUUGCAACUAAUCUACAAAACAAUGUCAAAAAAAAUGAGAAGUAACUUAAUAAUGAGAACAUACCUUUCUUAGAAAGCUAUGUUUCUAAGAAAGGUUUCUAAAAGGUAAUUCCCAUGCAACCUGAUGUAUUUCUAGAUUUUUCUUUAUGCUGGAAAUGCAGCGGAAUGAAUGGUUGUUAUCGUGUAACAGUGAUCCACUUUAUUGCAAAUAGAAGCCUAUGCACCCAUUUUGGUAUAAUCCUUCUUUCCUCAGCUGGUAGCUCCAAUCUGGCUGGCAAGUAAUAUAGUGUUCCCAGGCCAAAGAUCAAACCCAUACCAAGCCGAUGCAGUGACAGGGCUGGUCCUUGAACUCACUGUGCCAAAAGAGAACUCUUCCAUUAUCAUUUAAAAUAAGUAUAAAUUCAACUGACCCUUUUUGGUUAAGUAAGCAGAUUUACUUUUCCCAUUUGAUUGACCCCAGGGAGUAACUUUAAAUUUCAUUUGGUAGCUAAGUGAUUUUAAUUUGGGGUGUAUGUGAACAUUUUUUAAAAAGAACUCCUGCAGAUACAGAAUUGAUACCUCAAGUUUCUUCUAAAUAUUAUGUGCCAACUUAUUUAAAUUAUUAAGAUUGAAUUAUCUUUUGAUCUCAGACAAUCAGUUAUAAUCAUUUUGUCUAUAACAGAAGCUUGGCUCUAGUAUUUCUUCACAAUAAUUCUGUUAUGCCCCAAAUUCAAAUUUCAGCAUGACUCAAAUGUUUUCCAGUGCUUUCCAUGUUGAUUGCUAGUACUAUGCCCAUCUAUAAUAUAUUUGAAAACUAGUGACUUAGUGAUUAAGACUGAUGAACAUGACUUUUUUGAAGUUUCUAAUAUACAAUAAAUUAUCUUUAAACACGGUUUUUGGGUAGUUCAUUUAUUUAAAUGACCCCUAAACCUUGGGAAAGAUUAAGAAUAAAGUUUUAUGUCAGCUUCAUUUUUCAUAGUUUACUGGUGCCUUUCUUCUAUGGUAAUCUAAUUUAUAUUAUCUUUAUAAUCUAUCAUACAAAUUUAUUACCAUGCAUAAUUAUUCAAAAUAGUAGCAUUACUAUUAUUUUUAUAUUUGUAAUUAUUUAUUCAUUUCAAGUCACUCAGCAUGCUAGUAAUGGGCCAUGUAGUUAGAUAGCCUAAUUUGUUCAUAAUUUGACUCAUAAUUAGUUUCAAUACAAGUUCAAUAUAAAGUAUUUUGAAAUUUAUAAUUUUUUUGUGUUAUAUACAUGUCUGUAGAUAUAAAACUCAAAGAUUUUCUUUCUUUCAUAAUAUACUAUAAUAUGGUUACAAGUGCAUUGAAAUUCAUCUUGUUAGAAUGGUAGUAAUAUAUCCCACUAGGACUACUGUUCCUAGUAGCAAUUUAAAAUAAUUAUUGUGAGACUUGAUGCUAGACAUCAGGUUUGCAAUAGAAUUACAAUGAGGGAAGUGUAUUAGAGACAAAACAUUGCUGGAAGAAAACUUCAUAAUGGCGCAAUUUGGAACUAAGCCUCAAUUUUACAGUAAUAGAUUCUCUUUAUGAUGGCACAAAGGAGUGAAUGCACUUAGCAAAUUUAAAUCUAUUAUUAGUCACACUUUGUGGAUUGCAGUGCAAAAAGGAGAAAAGAAAUUAGCCUUUUAAGUAUGUUCUUAUAUAAAACAGGUUCUAGGAAGAACGGUCUUAUAUAAAAUCUCCUUGUUACACUUCAGAAGCAUUGUCAGUCUUUAUAACAGCAGGGAGUUGUCCAGGUUUAAAAGUCUUUCCAAAAGAGUUCUUGAGGUCUCUGAUUUCUAAUUAUAGAUUUCUGAAGUCAGGGUACAUUCAACAUCAGUACAUUUCUUGUUGACAGAAAUACAGUAUAGAACAAGAAAGACAGUUAAUUUGGUCUUUGCUGCUUACUGCAAACCUCUCUCCUUGAAUGAAGAUGUGUUUGUAGUUCAUAUUAGUACUAUACCUGCCUUUAACAUGAUUUCAAUUACAGCAAGAGAACUCAACAGCAUUAAGCAGGUAUGAUUUGGCACUCAUCCAUGUAAAAGGAGUUUCAAUAGGCAAUUUUGCAAAGGAAACCAACAGUGAGAAUUCAAGAAGUAUUUUUAGUAUAAAAUCAAAACAUUAAAAAUCCAAGCUUCCAUUUUCAAGUUAAGUAAAAUGUUUUAGUUUUGUUUUAAUUAUGAUCCAUUUUUCCUAUUUUGUCUAAAAAUAAUGCUGGGUAGGAUAUUUGACAAUAGCACAAUUUAGUUUUAAAAUAACAUAAUUCUCCAUCAUGUCAUUGACUAGGUACAUAAGAAUGCAGUUGUAAUUCUUAAGAAGUAUGAAACAAAAUUCUGAUCGGAGAUGUUUCACAUAAGCAUUUAUUCUGUGGAAAAGAGUAGAAUAACCCAGUUGAAUUGGGAAAGGUUAACUAUACAUAGUAGUUAAUGUUGGUAGAUUUAUGGGAAAAGAAAGCAAGGACCACAGUAGAACUGGCCACCCAUGCAGUAAAGUUCUACACAGCCUAAACAGAACAGAUAUAAAUAUAAUUAAAUAAUCCAAAGAGAUUGCUAAAAAAGCAUUUUCAUAUAAAUCAUCCUAAUUGCCUGCCCAUAUUAACACUUAAUAUUGCUUUCUCAUGGUUUUGUUUUGCUCUGUAGCUGUCUGUAGCUGCUUUUGCUUAAUAACCCUAGUGCAAUUUUAUCCUCCUGAGCACCAGUUAGUAGUUCAUACAGGCUCACAUCUCUCAACAUUCAAUUACUCUCCCAAAUAUAACUUCUCAUUCCUUCAAAGACCUCACCCUCUUCCAGUUUUCUUCCCACUUCUCAGUCUUUAGUACGAGGUAUUUAUAUCAGCAUUGUGUCCUUUCAAAAUCAAAAUUGAUAAGGGAAAUGAUUGAACUUAUGAUUACAUAAUUAAAAAAAAAUCUCAGGAAAAAAUUCCUAACUAAAAUUGGAGAUAAAUCAUAAACUUGGAAAAAUAUUUGCAAUAUGUAUAGCAAAGAGUUAAUGUUGCUAAUCAAUAAGAAGCUCAUAAAUAAAUAUCUAAAGGAAGUAUGGGUAAAGGACAAAAGCAGCCAGUGUGCAUAAAAAUAAAUGGGAUUUAAUCAGCUGAAAAGAUGCUUAAUCUCACUCAUUGUAAAGGAAAUGCAAAUCAAAAUUAGAUAUCAUUUGAUAAGAUUGAGAAAAAUUUUUAAAUUUGAGCAUGUGGGAAAAAUAAACCCUAUCAUAUACUAUCAGUGGGUAUGCAAAGUAGAUAAACAAAAAUGUUUAUUGUAGCAAGUUUUACAAUAAGUGAGAUAACGUAUUUAUCAACUGAAUUUUGAUUAAACAAUUUAUAGAAAAACAUGCUGGAAUAUUAGGCUGUGGUAAAAAAGAACAAGAUCAAUCUUGAGGUUGUAUGGAAAAAUCUCUGUUUUAUAUUUUCAACAGGAAAAAGUAAGGUAGGGAACAGUUUGUAUAAGGUGCUCUUAUUUGUGUAAAAAAGGAUGUGUAUACAUAUAUAUGCAUGUAUAUGCAUAGACUGAAAUUCUUUGCAAAACUGCAUAAGAGGUGUUCAUUGUGAUUGCCUUUCAGGAGCCCUUUUAGGUUGUGAUAUGUGCUACUUUUUUCUUUCUUUUCUUUUCUUUUUUUCUUUUCUUUUCUUUCUUUUUCUUUUUAGGGCCACACCUGUAGCAUAUGCAAGUUCCCGGGCUAGGAGUCUAAUUGGGGUUGCAGCUAUCAGACUACACCACAGCCACAACCAUGUCAGAUCCAAGCCACAUCUGCAACCUACACCACAGCUCACAGCAACGCUGGAUCCUUAACCCAGUGAGCAAGGCCGGGGAUCGAACCUGCAUCCUCAUGGACACUAUGUUGGAUUCUGAACCGGCUGAGCCAUAAUGGGAACUCCUACUUCCUCAAUAAUUAAAAAACAGCUAGUUAUAGGAGUUCCCAUUAUGGUUCAGCAGUUAAUGAACCCAACUGGUAUCCAUGAGUACGUGGAUCAAUCCCUGGCCUCACUCAGUGGGUUAAGGAUCUGGCAUUGCUGUGGCUGUGGUGUAGGCGGGCAGCUGCAGCUGAGGUUCAACCCCUAUUCUGGGAAUUUCCAUAUGCUGCAGGUACAGCCUUAAAAAGACAAAAG